CCUUUGGAGUGUCAUAGCAAACAUGAGUAGAUUUUUUUAUCGAAAACGGACACGGUGAAUAAGGAA
This 66-nucleotide small RNA is filed under the name bovine gut metagenome. RNAcentral describes it as "RAGATH-18 RNA". It matches the Rfam family "RAGATH-18 RNA". Rfam says of the family: Actinobacteria, Firmicutes, Fusobacteria, Thermotogae (1 example). Nearby to self-cleaving ribozyme genes The record is from RNAcentral.